This is a long non-coding RNA of Microtus oregoni (creeping vole), 256 nucleotides long. RefSeq lists it as uncharacterized. The transcript is spliced from 3 exons. The record is from RefSeq and is a predicted model, not a curated record. Lineage: Eukaryota; Metazoa; Chordata; Mammalia; Rodentia; Cricetidae.
CUGGGACUGCCAGCAGGGAAGAAGACCAGGAAAUAUCUGCUAAAUUAUGAAUAUAUAAAAUGAGGGGCAUAAGACAGAUGAAAAGAAAACCUGUCUGCAGAGACGAAGGUUUCCAGUUCUGGCAGGACAGCUGCCAAAUGUCCGAUCCAGGGCCCCUGUUUGGAUGUCAAAUGCGUCAUGACCUUUCCUGGGGAGAUGUGAAGAUGCCAGACAGGAAGCCAAAAAACACUUCCAGCCAAGUCUAGCUGCAUGAACC